Long non-coding RNA from Pipistrellus kuhlii (Kuhl's pipistrelle), 307 nucleotides. RefSeq lists it as uncharacterized. Lineage: Eukaryota; Metazoa; Chordata; Mammalia; Chiroptera; Vespertilionidae. The transcript is spliced from 2 exons. The record is from RefSeq and is a predicted model, not a curated record.
UAAAUCCUCUCCUGGGUUGUGAAGACUCACAGCUCUCCCCUCACCCAAGGCUGAGGUCUCUGGGAAGACAGAGCUGUGGUCUAGGAGAAGAUGAGACUGCUGGGUCUUCUCCUGUGCCUGGUGACAGCCCCCCAAGGUGUCCUGUCCCAGCUGCAGUUUCAGGGGUGGGCCCAGGACUGGUGAAGCCCUCGCAGACCCUCUCCCUCACCUGCACUGUCUCUGGUUACUCCAUCACAACCAGUGGUUACUGCUGGAGCUGGAUCCGCCAGCCCCCAGGGAAGGGGCUUGAGUGGAUGGAGUGCAUAAA